CUUUUAUUUGCUUGGUUUGUAAUAAUAUUUGAUGUUGCUUGGAUAUUGGCUGGAUAUUUUAAUUGUGUACUCUAAAUUUGAAUCUUCUCUUGUUUAAAUGUGGAACAGUUUUUACUUUUAGAAUUUGUUUCAAUAUCUUGGCAUGUUCUUUCUAGUCACUUGAGUAUCAAUUACUUGAUUUUCUCCGUGUGUGAUAUGUGAAACUUGCAGUGCAAUAGCUUGUUGCACUCAUGUGAUCAAGAGGCAAAGGAAGGGAACGCACACUUUUUGACCGGUUCUUUGGUUCGACCCAACCGAGAGGUAUUGAGCCAAACACUCCUUU
Molecule: long non-coding RNA, 322 nt
Filed under: Trifolium pratense (red clover)
Lineage: Eukaryota; Viridiplantae; Streptophyta; Magnoliopsida; Fabales; Fabaceae
Description: long non-coding RNA (TPRA_LNC009033)
Source: RNAcentral